This 1552-nucleotide ribosomal RNA is filed under the name Escherichia fergusonii. Its description in RNAcentral is "bacterial SSU rRNA". It matches the Rfam family "Bacterial small subunit ribosomal RNA". The record is from RNAcentral. Lineage: Bacteria; Pseudomonadati; Pseudomonadota; Gammaproteobacteria; Enterobacterales; Enterobacteriaceae.
AAAUUGAAGAGUUUGAUCAUGGCUCAGAUUGAACGCUGGCGGUAGGCCUAACACAUGCAAGUCGAACGGUAACAGGAAUCAGCUUGCUGAUUCGCUGACGAGUGGCGGACGGGUGAGUAAUGUCUGGGAAACUGCCUGAUGGAGGGGGAUAACUACUGGAAACGGUAGCUAAUACCGCAUAAUGUCGCAAGACCAAAGAGGGGGACCUUCGGGCCUCUUGCCAUCGGAUGUGCCCAGAUGGGAUUAGCUAGUAGGUGGGGUAACGGCUCACCUAGGCGACGAUCCCUAGCUGGUCUGAGAGGAUGACCAGCCACACUGGAACUGAGACACGGUCCAGACUCCUACGGGAGGCAGCAGUGGGGAAUAUUGCACAAUGGGCGCAAGCCUGAUGCAGCCAUGCCGCGUGUAUGAAGAAGGCCUUCGGGUUGUAAAGUACUUUCAGCGGGGAGGAAGGGAGUAAAGUUAAUACCUUUGCUCAUUGACGUUACCCGCAGAAGAAGCACCGGCUAACUCCGUGCCAGCAGCCGCGGUAAUACGGAGGGUGCAAGCGUUAAUCGGAAUUACUGGGCGUAAAGCGCACGCAGGCGGUUUGUUAAGUCAGAUGUGAAAUCCCCGGGCUCAACCUGGGAACUGCAUCUGAUACUGGCAAGCUUGAGUCUCGUAGAGGGGGGUAGAAUUCCAGGUGUAGCGGUGAAAUGCGUAGAGAUCUGGAGGAAUACCGGUGGCGAAGGCGGCCCCCUGGACGAAGACUGACGCUCAGGUGCGAAAGCGUGGGGAGCAAACAGGAUUAGAUACCCUGGUAGUCCACGCCGUAAACGAUGUCGACUUGGAGGUUGUGCCCUUGAGGCGUGGCUUCCGGAGCUAACGCGUUAAGUCGACCGCCUGGGGAGUACGGCCGCAAGGUUAAAACUCAAAUGAAUUGACGGGGGCCCGCACAAGCGGUGGAGCAUGUGGUUUAAUUCGAUGCAACGCGAAGAACCUUACCUGGUCUUGACAUCCACGGAAGUUUUCAGAGAUGAGAAUGUGCCUUCGGGAACCGUGAGACAGGUGCUGCAUGGCUGUCGUCAGCUCGUGUUGUGAAAUGUUGGGUUAAGUCCCGCAACGAGCGCAACCCUUAUCCUUUGUUGCCAGCGGUCCGGCCGGGAACUCAAAGGAGACUGCCAGUGAUAAACUGGAGGAAGGUGGGGAUGACGUCAAGUCAUCAUGGCCCUUACGACCAGGGCUACACACGUGCUACAAUGGCGCAUACAAAGAGAAGCGACCUCGCGAGAGCAAGCGGACCUCAUAAAGUGCGUCGUAGUCCGGAUUGGAGUCUGCAACUCGACUCCAUGAAGUCGGAAUCGCUAGUAAUCGUGGAUCAGAAUGCCACGGUGAAUACGUUCCCGGGCCUUGUACACACCGCCCGUCACACCAUGGGAGUGGGUUGCAAAAGAAGUAGGUAGCUUAACCUUCGGGAGGGCGCUUACCACUUUGUGAUUCAUGACUGGGGUGAAGUCGUAACAAGGUAACCGUAGGGGAACCUGCGGUUGGAUCACCUCCUUACCUUAAAGAA